RNAcentral lists this ribosomal RNA (460 nucleotides) under uncultured bacterium. RNAcentral's name for it is "partial 16S ribosomal RNA". It matches the Rfam family "Bacterial small subunit ribosomal RNA", at positions 338 to 795 of the family's 1533-position model. The record is from RNAcentral.
CCUACGGGUGGCAGCAGUGAGGAAUAUUGGUCAAUGGACGCAAGUCUGAACCAGCCAUGCCGCGUGCAGGAAGACGGCUCUAUGAGUUGUAAACUGCUUUUGUACGAGGGUAAACGCAGAUACGCGUAUCUGUCUGAAAGUAUCGUACGAAUAAGGAUCGGCUAACUCCGUGCCAGCAGCCGCGGUAAUACGGAGGAUUCAAGCGUUAUCCGGAUUUAGUGGGUUUAAAGGGUGCGUAGGCGGUCGGAUAAGUUAGAGGUGAAAUCCCGAGGCUCAACUUCGGAAUUGCCUCUGAUACUGUUCGGCUGGAGAGUAGUUGCGGUAGGCGGAAUGUAUGGUGUAGCGGUGAAAUGCUUAGAGAUCAUACAGAACACCGAUUGCGAAGGCAGCUUACCAAGCUACUUCUGACGUUGAGGCACGAAAGCGUGGGGAGCAAACAGGAUUAGAUACCCUAGUAGUC